GUUUAAAAGAUGGGUUCUGCUAUCACUCUUGGGAUGGGACCCUGCGGUGCAUUAGCUAGUUGGUAGGGGUAACGGGCCUACCAAGGCGAUGAUGCAUAGCCCGAGUUGAGAGACUGAUCGGGCCACAUUGGGGACUGAGACACGGGCCCAAAACUCCGUACGGGGAGGCAGCAGUAGGGAAUCCUUCCACAAUGGACGCAAGUCUGAUGGAGCAACGCCGCGUGAGUGAAGUAAGGGUUUCGGCUACGUAAAGCUCUGUUGUUGGUGAAGAAGGACGAGGGGUAGUAACUGACCUUUGUUUGACGGUAAUCAAUUAGAAGUCACGGCUAACUACGUGCCAGCAGCCGCGGUAAU
Molecule: ribosomal RNA, 354 nt
Filed under: uncultured Lactobacillales bacterium
Lineage: Bacteria; Bacillati; Bacillota; Bacilli; Lactobacillales
Description: bacterial SSU rRNA
Rfam family: Bacterial small subunit ribosomal RNA
Source: RNAcentral